GACGAACGCUGGCGGCGUGCUUAACACAUGCAAGUCGAACGGAAAGGCCCUGCUUUUGUGGGGUGCUCGAGUGGCGAACGGGUGAGUAACACGUGAGUAACCUGCCCUUGACUUUGGGAUAACUUCAGGAAACUGGGGCUAAUACCGGAUAGGAGCUCCUGCUGCAUGGUGGGGGUUGGAAAGUUUCGGCGGUUGGGGUUGGACUCGCGGCUUAUCAGCUUGUUGGUGGGGUAGUGGCUUACCAAGGCUUUGACGGGUAGCCGGCCUGAGAGGGUGACCGGCCACAUUGGGACUGAGAUACGGCCCAGACUCCUACGGGAGGCAGCGGUGGGGAAUAUUGCACAAUGGGCGGAAGCCUGAUGCAGCAACGCCGCGUGCGGGAUGACGGCCUUCGGGUUGUAAACCGCUUUCGCCUGUGACGAAGCGUGAGUGACGGUAAUGGGUAAAGAAGCACCGGCUAACUACGUG
This 468-nucleotide ribosomal RNA is filed under the name uncultured bacterium. Its description in RNAcentral is "partial 16S ribosomal RNA". It matches the Rfam family "Bacterial small subunit ribosomal RNA", at positions 28 to 507 of the family's 1533-position model. The record is from RNAcentral.